AGUGAACGCUGGCGGUAGGCCUAACACAUGCAAGUCGGACGGCAGCACAGGAGAGCUUGCUCUCUGGGUGGCGAGUGGCGGACGGGUGAGGAAUACAUCGGAAUCUGCCCAGUCGUGGGGGAUAACGUAGGGAAACUUACGCUAAUACCGCAUACGACCUUCGGGUGAAAGAGGGGGAUCGCAAGACCUCUCGCGAUUGGAUGAGCCGAUGUCGGAUUAGCUAGUUGGCGGGGUAAUGGCCCACCAAGGCGACGAUCCGUAGCUGGUCUGAGAGGAUGAUCAGCCACACUGGAACUGAGACACGGUCCAGACUCCUACGGGAGGCAGCAGUGGGGAAUAUUGGACAAUGGGCGCAAGCCUGAUCCAGCCAUACCGCGUGGGUGAAGAAGGCCUUCGGGUUGUAAAGCCCUUUUGUUGGGAAAGAAAUCUUUCAGGCUAAUACCCUGGGAGGAUGACGGUACCCAAAGAAUAAGCACCGGCUAACUUCGUG
RNAcentral lists this ribosomal RNA (490 nucleotides) under uncultured bacterium. RNAcentral's name for it is "partial 16S ribosomal RNA". It matches the Rfam family "Bacterial small subunit ribosomal RNA", at positions 29 to 507 of the family's 1533-position model. The record is from RNAcentral.